UGCAAACAAAAAAUCAACCAAAUGAGAAUACAAUUUACAAAGAUGGACGUUUGUUUCAAAACAAUUUCAAUCAUUAAUGUUUUCCUUCUGAUCUCGCUCAUGGUUGUCACAACCCAGAUGACUUAUGCCACUUCUUUUUAUGCAAAAAAAUCUUUUUCAGUUGAAACUACAGUUGAAAAGGAAAUUAACAAUGAACUAGUCUUUAACAGUUGCAAAAGAGUUAGUUAUAAAAAUACUUGUUACAACACCUACAAAUCAUCUAAGAUGACGGCGAAUGCCACUGAUAUGAAUAAGGUUAUUUACAUUUCAAUUGGAUGUCUCCUCGAUCAUGCACAACUUGUUAAAAAGUCACAAAAGAUUUCUAUUAUUUUUAAAUCGUCAAAAGCAGUCAUGUACGAAAGAGCAUACGAUGCAAUCAUCUGGAAGCUCCAAGUAAUCAAGAAGAUGAAGGAUUUCAAACGUAGAAUGUUGGUAGAAAUUCUCAAUCAUGUUAUCGCAAAGAUCAAAUUUUGCAAAAGAAUUUCGCUCUCUGUCAAAUUUGAAAAGAAAGUUAUGAUUAAUGGAGAGCAUGCCUUCGAGUCUGAAAAUGAUGAAAUGAUGCAAAUGGCCACAAACACCGUCGAGAUGUGUCAAUCACUGCCUGAAUAAUAAAUUCAACUUCAAAAAUUGUAUCUAAUUGUCUACUUAACUUUCUUUGAUGUAUGUGCAAAAAAAAUGUUCUGGUUGGAUAUUUGGUUAGAAAUCAAACAUUAUCGCAUUCUUCAGUCAAUCAAAUGAAGUCAUUUUUUUUUAUAUUUCAAUCUAUUCCAGGAAUAUUACAUUUUUAAUCUUUUACAUUUCUUAUUGAAGUAUAACAGGAUGAAAUUAGUUUAUUUUAUCUCUUAUCUUUUUUAAGUUAAGUUUUUAUCUAUAAGUUAAGUUAUAUCGGCCCAUACUCAAGGCCCAUUAAUUAGCAUAGGUAUAUAUAUCAAAACUCUGUAAUAGUUUAGUUAACUUUCUUUAAUAUACAAAAUCCUAAACCCUUCUAGCUAGGGUUUUCCCAAGCGUCAACUCUCUCCACUCACUCCCAAACUUCCGAUCAGUGACUCCGUCCGUACACGCCUCGCUCCGUUCACACUUCUCUUCAUGGUAUCAAAGCACCGUGAAGCGAUGUACUGACAAUCGUUGCUGCUACUCCGGAAAGCCCCAAAUCGAAGAUCGACAUCUCCUGGCUGACUCCGUCAGACUGCUCUCCUCAAACCACGCUUGGUAAAACCUAAAAUUAAACUUCUAAAGCGAUGCACGAUUUCUCCUCAAAAAAUCUUUUUCAGUUGAAACUACAUUUGAAAAGGAAAUUUACAAUGAACUAGUCUUUAACAGUUGCAAAAAAGUUAGUUAUAAAAAUACUUGUUACAACACCUACAAAUCAUCUAAGAUGACGGCGAAUGCCACUGAUAUGAAUAAGGUUGUUUACAUUUCAAUUGGAUGUCUCCUCGAUCAUGCACAACUUGUUAAAAAGUCACAAAAGAUUUCUAUUAUUUUUAAAUCGUCAAAAGCAGUCAUGUACGAAAGAGCAUACGAUGCAAUCAUCUGGAAGCUCCAAGUAAUCAAGAAGAUGAAGGAUUUCAAACGUAGAAUGUUGGUAGAAAUUCUCAAUCAUGUUAUCGCAAAGAUCAAAUUUUGCAAAAGAAUUUCGCUCUCUGUCAAAUUUGAAAAGAAAGUUAUGAUUAAUGGAGAGCAUGCCUUCGAGUCUGAAAAUGAUGAAAUGAUGCAAAUGGCCACAAACACCGUCGAGAUGUGUCAAUCACUGCCUGAAUAAUAAAUUCAACUUCAAAAAUUGUAUCUAAUUGUCUACUUAACUUUCUUUGAUGUAUGUGCAAAAAAAAUGUUCUGGUUGGAUAUUUGGUUAGAAAUCAAACAUUAUCGCAUUCUUCAGUCAAUCAAAUGAAGUCAUUUUUUUUAUAUUUCAAUCUAUUCCAGGAAUAUUACAUUUUUAAUCUUUUACAUUUCUUAUUAAAGUAUAACAGGAUGAAAUUAGUUUAUUUUAUCUCUUAUCUUUUUUAAGUUAAGUUUUUAUCUAUAAGUUAAGUUAUAUCGGCCCAUACUCAAGGCCCAUUAAUUAGCA
RNAcentral lists this long non-coding RNA (2104 nucleotides) under Zostera marina. Its description in RNAcentral is "long non-coding RNA (ZMAR_LNC004566)". Lineage: Eukaryota; Viridiplantae; Streptophyta; Magnoliopsida; Alismatales; Zosteraceae. The record is from RNAcentral.